Molecule: RNase P RNA, 363 nt
Filed under: Leminorella richardii
Lineage: Bacteria; Pseudomonadati; Pseudomonadota; Gammaproteobacteria; Enterobacterales; Budviciaceae
Description: Bacterial RNase P class A
Rfam family: Bacterial RNase P class A
About the family: Ribonuclease P (RNase P) is a ubiquitous endoribonuclease, found in archaea, bacteria and eukarya as well as chloroplasts and mitochondria. Its best characterised activity is the generation of mature 5'-ends of tRNAs by cleaving the 5'-leader elements of precursor-tRNAs.
Source: RNAcentral
GACAGUCGCCGCUUCGUCGUCGUCCUUUCGGGGAGACGGGCGGAGGGGAGGAAAGUCCGGGCUCCAUAGGGCAGGGUGCCAGGUAACGCCUGGGAGGCGCGAGCCUACGACCAGUGCAACAGAGAGCAAACCGCCGAUGGCCCGCGCAAGCGGGAUCAGGUAAGGGUGAAAGGGUGCGGUAAGAGCGCACCGCGCGACUGGCAACAGCUCGCGGCACGGUAAACUCCACCCGGAGCAAGGCCAAAUAGGGGUUCACAAGGUACGGCCCGUAUCGAACCCGGGUAGGCUGCUUGAGCCAGUGAGCGAUUGCUGGCCUAGAUGAAUGACUGUCCACGACAGAACCCGGCUUAGCGGCCGACUCCA